This 433-nucleotide ribosomal RNA is filed under the name uncultured bacterium. RNAcentral describes it as "partial 16S ribosomal RNA". It matches the Rfam family "Bacterial small subunit ribosomal RNA", at positions 29 to 507 of the family's 1533-position model. The record is from RNAcentral.
AACGAACGCUGGCGGCAUGCCUAACACAUGCAAGUCGAACGAAGCCUUCGGGCUUAGUGGCGCACGGGUGCGUAACGCGUGGGAAUCUGCCCCUUGCUUCGGAAUAACAGUUAGAAAUGACUGCUAAUGCCGGAUGAAGUCUUCGGACCAAAGAUUUAUCGGCAAGGGAUGAGCCCGCGUAGGAUUAGGUAGUUGGUGGGGUAAAGGCCUACCAAGCCGACGAUCCUUAGCUGGUCUGAGAGGAUGAUCAGCCACACUGGGACUGAGACACGGCCCAGACUCCUACGGGAGGCAGCAGUGGGGAAUAUUGGGCAAUGGACGCAAGUCUGAUCCAGCAAUGCCGCGUGAGUGAUGAAGGCCUUAGGGUUGUAAAGCUCUUUUACCAGGGAUGAUAAUGACAGUACCUGGAGAAUAAGCUCCGGCUAACUCCGUG